RNAcentral lists this ribosomal RNA (399 nucleotides) under uncultured Lactobacillus sp. RNAcentral describes it as "bacterial SSU rRNA". It matches the Rfam family "Bacterial small subunit ribosomal RNA", at positions 64 to 446 of the family's 1533-position model. The record is from RNAcentral. Lineage: Bacteria; Bacillati; Bacillota; Bacilli; Lactobacillales; Lactobacillaceae.
AAACUAACAGAUUUACUUCGGUAAUGACGUUAGGAAAGCGAGCGGCGGAUGGGUGAGUAACACGUGGGGAACCUGCCCCAUAGUCUGGGAUACCACUUGGAAACAGGUGCUAAUACCGGAUAAGAAAGCAGAUCGCAUGAUCAGCUUUUAAAAGGCGGCGUAAGCUAUCGCUAUGGGAUGGCCCCGCGGUGCAUUAGCUUGUUGGAAAGGUAAAGGCUUACCAAGGCGAUGAUGCAUAGCCGAGUUGAGAGACUGAUCGGCCACAUUGGGACUGAGACACGGCCCAAACUCCUACGGGAGGCAGCAGUAGGGAAUCUUCCACAAUGGACGCAAGUCUGAUGGAGCAACGCCGCGUGAGUGAAGAAGGUUUUCGGAUCGUAAAGCUCUGUUGUUGGUGAA